CCUAUGCUGAGGUUAACCUUAAACAGAAGGCCAAAGCCAAGAAGAAGAAAGAAACAGAAACCCCACCUGAGGCAGAUUCGGUCUAUUCUCAAGUGAAGCCAGUCACAGCCCCAGGACCUUGAGGGGGGCAGGGAUGGACGGAUGGAAGGAUGGAGUGAUGGAGGGAUGGAU
Coregonus clupeaformis (lake whitefish) is the source of this 171-nucleotide long non-coding RNA. RefSeq lists it as uncharacterized. Lineage: Eukaryota; Metazoa; Chordata; Actinopteri; Salmoniformes; Salmonidae. The record is from RefSeq and is a predicted model, not a curated record. The transcript is spliced from 3 exons.